AGAGUUUGAUCCUGGCUCAGGACGAACGCUGGCGGCGUGCCUAAUACAUGCAAGUCGAGCGAGCAGAACCAGCAGAUUUACUUCGGUAAUGACGCUGGGACGCGAGCGGCGGAUGGGUGAGUAACACGUGGGGAACCUGCCCCAUAGUCUGGGAUACCACUUGGAAACAGGUGCUAAUACCGGAUAAGAAAGCAGAUCGCAUGAUCAGCUUAUAAAAGGCGGCGUAAGCUGUCGCUAUGGGAUGGCCCCGCGGUGCAUUAGCUAGUUGGUAAGGCAACGGCUUACCAAGGCAAUGAUGCAUAGCCGAGUUGAGAGACUGAUCGGCCACAUUGGGACUGAGACACGGCCCAAACUCCUACGGGAGGCAGCAGUAGGGAAUCUUCCACAAUGAACGCAAGUCUGAUGGAGCAACGCCGCGUGAGUGAAGAAGGUUUUCGGAUCGUAAAGCUCUGUUGUUGGUGAAGAAGGAUAGAGGCAGUAACUGGCCUUUAUUUGACGGUAAUCAACCAGAAAGUCACGGCUAACUACGUGCCAGCAGCCGCGGUAAUACGUAGGUGGCAAGCGUUGUCCGGAUUUAUUGGGCGUAAAGCGAGCGCAGGCGGAAGAAUAAGUCUGAUGUGAAAGCCCUCGGCUUAACCGAGGAACUGCAUCGGAAACUGUUUUUCUUGAGUGCAGAAGAGGAGAGUGGAACUCCAUGUGUAGCGGUGGAAUGCGUAGAUAUAUGGAAGAACACCAGUGGCGAAGGCGACUCUCUGGUCUGCAACUGACGCUGAGGCUCGAAAGCAUGGGUAGCGGACAGGAUUAGAUACCCUGGUAGUCC
Molecule: ribosomal RNA, 820 nt
Filed under: uncultured bacterium
Lineage: Bacteria
Description: bacterial SSU rRNA
Rfam family: Bacterial small subunit ribosomal RNA
Source: RNAcentral